GUUACAAUGAUGUCAUCUGUGUUAAAAGUCAGUCAUUAUGAUAACUAUGCUUCUUACAUCUGAGAAGAGGGACAUAUUUCAAACUUUCUGGCUGUCAUUUUGAAGAACUACAGGAUUCUUAAGGCAGUCAGUCCAAAGAAUAAAUGAUCUGAAAAGCUGUAGAUUGAAAGAACCAUGCCAGUUGCUCUGACUCCAGACAGAGAACGAAGAAAUCCUCUACGAGCCCCAUGGGUUCACAGAAGUCUAUCAAUCACACUGUCAGUCUUCCGGAUCAUAAUUCAAGUUGCCUUCCCCAAUUUUGCUGGAUAUAUCAGAUCUACUCCAGCUCCAUAGGAGUGAACACAAAAAGGACGAAAAGCAGAGAGGAAGAAAGCAUAUUUAAGGUUUCCAGCAUAUUCUAUCUUACAGGAUGAACUAAGAUUUAGGACAGUUUCCUACGAUGUACCUUGAUGUUGGAAAAGAAAACCAAACCAAGAUGCAGAGGCCGUGAGUUCAAAGCUAAGUUCUGCCCAUUACCAAACAUAAUGUUAUAGACGAAAUGCUUGUGUGCUUGCAAAUAUCGUAUGCUGAAACCUAAUCCCCAACGUGAUGUUAUUUGAAAAUAAGGCCUUUGAGAAUUGAUCAGGUGAUUACGGAUUCAUGCCCUUAUAAAAGAGCCCAGACAAAUCCUCACCCCUUUUACCCUGUGAGGACACAGUGAGAGACAGUCCUCUAUGAACCAAGAAUCAGAGACUCAAGGCAGCUUCCUCAUCUGGUGCCUUGCUCUUGGACUUUCCAGCUCCAGAACCACAAGAAAUAAAUUUUUCUGGUUUCGAAGCCACGCAGUCUAUGGCAGUUUGUUAUGAAUAGACUAAGACACAUAACUUCCGUAAAAUAUUUCACCUAUUUAAGUUCAAAUGUCUUCAUCUAUUGAAUGAGUGUAUUGAACUAAGACAGCAAUUUUUGUAUUUUGUUUUAAACUGAGUUCCUUGGAGCCUCAGGGAUUCUUUUAUAGGGUUUGGGUAAAAAAGAGGUGUGUGGAUAUAGGAAAGCUGGGUCUCAUCAGCAAGGAACUGAGCUAAAGGCCAGGUCUCAACAGGACUGUAAAAUUGGUUGAUUGGGAAGAAUAGCACAAUCUUUUGACAGCCUCCAGGUCUUACUUUUAUGUACUUCCUCUUCUUUUGUAGUUUUAAUAACUAUCCUGUCAACAUACUACCUUUAAAAACAUUGAUAUUUGGCACUUUGGGGAAAGGUGCUCAGGGGAAUAGCAAAUCAGUUCUGCUUUCAUCUGUCAUUCAGACUGGAUGACUGGGAUAAAUUUUUAUUGUAUGAAUCUAUGUUAUUUUUUAUUUCCCCUUUCCUUUUCCCUGUCUCGUUUAGUAUCUUAGCACCUAGCGGUGGGUAGCAGGAGGAGGUAGUGGUGGUGGAAGCCCCAAUAUCUCUAGGUGGGUUUCUGAACUGAACCAGCUUCAGGCCUAUCUAAGCUGGAAUUGUGACUGGAAAUGAACGAUUGCAUGUGCUUUACAAAUCUCUUAUGCCAACGAACUAGAAUCUCAAUAAGAUCUAGACAUAAAUUUUUUAAAACUUUAACAAAUUGCAAGAUUUCAUUUUAAUUCCUCCUAAUUGAGAAAAACACAUAGUUCAAAAUGAUAAUGGAUUCAAAUACUUCAUUAUUACCUAAUUUGUUUGAAUCGAACUAAGCAAAGAUUACAUUAUUAAUCCUUCAUCCAGAUAUUUUAAGUUCAACUUGGGAGCUAAUAUAAGGAUGAAUGUAUUCUAGCAUAGAUAGAAGAAAAAUACAAUGUACGUUAAACACAUUUUUGCCGUAUUUUACAGUAGCAGCCUAUCUUCUUAAAUUUUCACACAAAUGUUUAGUGGAAAUGACCCAUUUAUGAUGGAAUUAUCUUUUUCGUAUUUAUAAACUUCUUCCUAUUACUUCUAAAGUAAAUUUUAAAAAUAAAAAUAGGAAGUUCAAAGUUUGAGACCCAAAACAAUUUGUUUGUAAUAAUAAUAACAAUUUAUUCAAAAAGCUUCUUAAGGCUUGGCACAGUGGCUUAUGCCUAUAAUCCUGCCAUAUUGUGAGGCUGAGACAGAAGGAUUGCUUGAGUCUAGGAGUUCAAGACUAGCUUCAGCAACAAAGCUAGACUCUGACUCUAUAAAAAAUUUAAAAAUUAGCAAGUGUAGUGGCGUGCACCACAGUCUCAACUAUUUGGGAGGCUGAGGAGGGAAGAUUGCUUGAGCCCAGGAGUUUGAGGCUGCAGUGCACUAUGAUGCCACUGCAGUGUACUCCAGCCUCGGAG
Molecule: long non-coding RNA, 2279 nt
Organism: Pan troglodytes (chimpanzee)
Lineage: Eukaryota; Metazoa; Chordata; Mammalia; Primates; Hominidae
Exons: 4
Source: RefSeq, a predicted model, not a curated record